CCUACGGGUGGCAGCAGUGGGGAAUAUUGCGCAAUGGGCGCAAGCCUGACGCAGCAACGCCGCGUGAGGGAAGAAGGCCCUCGGGUUGUAAACUUCUUUUAUCAGGGACGAAAAAAAUGACGGUACCUGAUGAAUAAGCCACUGCCAACUACGUGGCAGCCGCCGCGGUAAUACGUAGGUGGCAAGCGUUAUCCGGAUUUACGGGGUGUAAAGGGCGUGUAGGCGGGUCUGCACGUCAGAUGUGAAAUCUCUGGGCUCAACCAUGGAACUGCAUUUGAAACUGUAGAUCUUGAGUGAAGGAGAGGCAGGCGGAAUUCCGGGUGUAGCGGUGAAAUGCGUAGAUAGACGGAGGAACACCAGUGGCGAAGGCGGCCUGCUGGACAUUAACUGACGCUGAGGCGCGAAAGCGUGGGGAGCAAACAGGAUUAGAUACCCCUGUAGUC
This 443-nucleotide ribosomal RNA is filed under the name uncultured bacterium. Its description in RNAcentral is "partial 16S ribosomal RNA". It matches the Rfam family "Bacterial small subunit ribosomal RNA", at positions 338 to 795 of the family's 1533-position model. The record is from RNAcentral.